RNAcentral lists this ribosomal RNA (507 nucleotides) under uncultured bacterium. RNAcentral's name for it is "bacterial SSU rRNA". It matches the Rfam family "Bacterial small subunit ribosomal RNA", at positions 28 to 534 of the family's 1533-position model. The record is from RNAcentral.
GACGAACGCUGGCGGCGUGCCUAACACAUGCAAGUCGAGCGGAGAUAGGCGGAAGGUAACUGAAGCUUAUCUUAGCGGCGGACGGGUGAGUAACACGUGGGCAACCUGCCUUGAAGUGGGGGAUAACACCGGGAAAUCGGUGCUAAUACCGCAUGACAUUAGAGCUUCGCAUGGAGCUUUAAUCAAAGGAGUAAUCCGCUUUAGGAUGGGCCCGCGUCUGAUUAGCUAGUUGGUGAGGUAGAGGCUCACCAAGGCGACGAUCAGUAGCCGAUCUGAGAGGAUGACCGGCCACACUGGAACUGAGACACGGUCCAGACUCCUACGGGAGGCAGCAGUGGGGAAUAUUGCACAAUGGGGGAAACCCUGGAUGCAGCAACGCCGCGUGGAGGAAGAAAGGUUUUCGGGAUUGUAAAACUCCUGUCUUUUGGGUACGAUAAAUGACGGUAACCAAAAGAGGAAAGCCAACGGCGUAACUACGUCCAGCAGCCGCGGUAAAAGUCAACGUCG